UGGGAUGUAUCUCAGUGGUAGAGGUCAUGCUCAGCAUGCAUGAGGCCCUGGGAUCAAUCCCCAUCACUGCAA
RNAcentral lists this transfer RNA (72 nucleotides) under Fukomys damarensis (Damara mole-rat). It matches the Rfam family "tRNA". From Rfam's summary of the family: Transfer RNA (tRNA) molecules are approximately 80 nucleotides in length. Their secondary structure includes four short double-helical elements and three loops (D, anti-codon, and T loops). Lineage: Eukaryota; Metazoa; Chordata; Mammalia; Rodentia; Bathyergidae. The record is from Rfam by way of RNAcentral.